This 74-nucleotide transfer RNA is filed under the name Pteropus alecto (black flying fox). It matches the Rfam family "tRNA". From Rfam's summary of the family: Transfer RNA (tRNA) molecules are approximately 80 nucleotides in length. Their secondary structure includes four short double-helical elements and three loops (D, anti-codon, and T loops). The record is from Rfam by way of RNAcentral. Lineage: Eukaryota; Metazoa; Chordata; Mammalia; Chiroptera; Pteropodidae.
GGCUCCAUAGUGUAGUGGUUAGCACGUCUGCUUUACAAGCAGAAGGUCUUGGGUUCGCUCCCUAGGUGGAGCCA